GGUUGCGAUCAUACCUGCACUAAUGCACCGGAUCCCAUCAGAACUCCGCAGUUAAGCGUGCUUGGGCGAGAGUAGUACUAGGAUGGGUGACCCCCUGGGAAGUCCUCGUGUUGCAACCCC
This 120-nucleotide ribosomal RNA is filed under the name Helianthus annuus (common sunflower). The record is from RNAcentral. RNAcentral also lists the same sequence under 1 other name. Lineage: Eukaryota; Viridiplantae; Streptophyta; Magnoliopsida; Asterales; Asteraceae.